AACGAACGCUGGCGGCAGGCUUAACACAUGCAAGUCGAACGCAUCCUUCGGGGUGAGUGGCAGACGGGUGAGUAACGCGUGGGAACGUGCCCUUCAGUUCGGGAUAACCCAGGGAAACUUGGGCUAAUACCGGAUACGUGCGAGAGCAGAAAGAUUUAUCGCUGAAGGAUCGGCCCGCGUCUGAUUAGCUAGUUGGUGGGGUAAUGGCCCACCAAGGCGACGAUCAGUAGCUGGUCUGGGAGGAUGAUCAGCCACAUUGGGACUGGAACACGGCCCAAACUCCUACGGGAGGCAGCAGUGGGGAAUAUUGGACGAUGGGGGCAAGCCUGAUCCAGCCAUGCCGCGUGAGUGAUGAAGGCCUUAGGGUUGUAAAGCUCUUUCGUCCGGGACGAUAAUGACGGUACCGGAAGAAGAAGCCCCGGCUAACUUCGUGCCAGCCGCCGCGGUAA
This 449-nucleotide ribosomal RNA is filed under the name uncultured bacterium. Its description in RNAcentral is "partial 16S ribosomal RNA". It matches the Rfam family "Bacterial small subunit ribosomal RNA", at positions 29 to 523 of the family's 1533-position model. The record is from RNAcentral.